Chiroxiphia lanceolata (lance-tailed manakin) is the source of this 4240-nucleotide long non-coding RNA. RefSeq lists it as uncharacterized. The record is from RefSeq and is a predicted model, not a curated record. The transcript has 4 exons. Lineage: Eukaryota; Metazoa; Chordata; Aves; Passeriformes; Pipridae.
AAAUAGUGACAUACUGAGCUCUUGUGGAUGGGCAACAACUCCAGGAGCUGAAAAAACAAGCUGUGGAACAGAGGUAACUUGUCCCUGAACACGUGAAGAGCUGAAGACAAAGCUGGGAAUGGGACUCAGAUGUCCAGCGUGAGCAGCUUGCGAUGACUGUCUGGGAAGGCACCUUGUGGCAAAAAGUUCUGAAACCCAGGAGGAAGGGAAGGGGCUUGAAAACCUUGCGUCUGAGCAGGGACAAGGAUGUGUCUGUUGGCAAAGAAUAUACAGCAGCCCAGUGCACUGUUAGUGAUGGAACUCUGCAGUACAAUGAUUUGAUGAGGCCAUGAUCUUGGAAAGAUACAAAAAGAGAUGGGCUGUUUCAGGCGAAUCAUGAAGAAAUCCUGAAAUAUAAAGGUACAGUCAAGUCUGGGAUGGGAUUUGCUCUGUAGGGGAGCCAGCUGGAAGCUGCCAGUGCUUGGGAGGAAGUUGCAUGAAAAUCUUGUUACUUGUACCUUGUUAUAUAAUUACCUCUUGCAGAGUGGAGUUUUUUUUCUGAAUUACAAUCACUGUUGGAGACAGGUUAUGUGCUUAGAGAGACCACUGGCUGGAUAGCCUGGUAUUUCCUGCAUUCUUACUUCCACGGAUCCUCUAAUAGCCCUGCUGCCCGGCUUUGUCCUGCUAUUGUGUCUCACUGUGAGGAUGGUCUAUGUCUGAGAUUGUUGGGGGAUUUCUGCAGGCAGCUUCUAGUGGUAUUUUCUGAGCCCCCCGAUAUGCUCCUCACACUACUGUAGCAUUUUCUAAAUUCCCUGGGGGCUGAGGGUCAUCUCUCACUUUAUGUAGGAUAAAUUGAUAAUGACACAAUGAAAUCAGUCGUGAUGAAAUAGCUCCAAUUUUAUUACAAUGAAAGGGGAUUUUGGAUCUGUGUUUCUGUUGUGUUGUGUCUGGAGCUGUGCUUACAACACAGUGGCUUUUUGCCAGAGAUUUCCAAUUCUGAGGUCUCCUGUCCCAUCCCAUCAGCUUGUAGCUAGAUUUAGCAAACUGUUUUCAGAGGUUUUCUGUGUGUUUCCAGAGAAGUUUUUCCUGUUACAUCUUGUAGCAGCCUGUCUGUUCGCUGUGGCUAGAUUUUUGUGGGGCCACAACUGUUGCGUUAGACAAUGAGGGAAGUGAUAGAUCAUCUAGUGAAGACUAGAUGAUCUGCCAUGGCUGGAAUUUGCUCCUCACCCACCUGUCAAAGCAAGAGGAGAAGUAGUUUGGGAGGCAUCACUAGUUUAUGGCUGUUUACUUGUGGCUGCUAUUUCUCUCUUUUGUUGUACUACUGCAUUGGACUAAGGACUAGUUUCGAGUAGCUUUCUUACUCCCUUGAAAAAAUGCUAUAUGUCCCUUGAAAUCUGGGGAAAUCUGGCCUGAGCGUCCUUUGAACCUGACCCUCUGCUCUCAGCUCAUUUCUGCUGCUUGGUAUCUUGCGUGUGCUGCAGUGUGGAGUAGAACACCGAAGUAUUCAGACAGGAUAAAUCAACGGGUGUCUGCUGAUUUACACCACUGGAAGGUUGGGCCCAGGUCAGAUAGAGAGCAGAGAACCCUCCAACAGAAUCUCUUUAAAUGAAAGCACAGGUGGGUAUUUCAGCCCAGUUAGCUGGGCAUUCAGUUAUGGCUUUUGCUACAGAGUAAAACCAGUUUUUCCAAAGGACAUCGGUAGCAAUCUCUUAAAAAAGGAGUUGUGGCCCCUCCCCAGUGACCUUUCCUUGUCAAAUGCUACAUGCUGUGAUGUUCCUACACAAUAGAGAACACUCUGCUCUCUGUGUACUUGGCAAAGGAAGAAAUGGCUUUUUUAAUCUCAUUGCAUGAAUUAUUGGCAAAACGUUUGAAGUGACUCCAAGAUUCCUCUCUGACUGACUUGCAUUUUCUCAGGAGAUUUGUGUAGUUUGGGAGUUUGGAACCUGUAACUGAAUAACUUGGAGAAAGCAUUUACUACAUUUUGAAAGGAUGCUGUGUCCUUGCAGAAAAAACACUUCAUCUGCUGCAUCAGUGUCCCUUCGCAGAGGACAAGCCUUCCUGGGUGUGACGUACUGUGUCCCCCCAGAGGAUACCCACCCCUUCUGCUGCCCCUCCUGGUCCUCAGCGCAGGUAUUGCCCGAGGCAGUGCUUCCUGUGGACACUGCCCUCAGCAUUGCCCUCAGCCAGCCAUGAGCGCAGGAGCAGAGCUCUGCCCUGCCAGGCCUUGGACAAACAUAAGCGUGUGCCAACGCUUGCCCUGAAUAAUCUAUAGAGACCGGGCAUGGAAACACAGGCAGCAGCGUGGAGUCAUGUAUCAAGGAAGUGCCAGAACUGGGAUUAAGACCUGUGCUCCUGUUGCUGCAGUCUUGUCAGCCCUGAGGUACAGGGAGGGACAGCUCACGUUGGUAGCCAGCCCUUUUUUCUUUGUUUACUCCUUCCCUGGACUCACUAACGUGGCUCUGCCAUGGGCCAGGUAUUGCUCCAGGAAUCCAGUGCAGACCACAUCCAUCCCUUUUGCUGGAGCAUCCCUCUGACUUGCUGCUGACCAUGGUGAGCGAAGGCUUGUCACAUCACAGGGAUGGCCACCUCCCCUCCUUCAGUGCUAGGCUUCUUUUUGCAAGAUCAAAGUGGAGGGAGUGUGCCAGAACCUGCCAAACUGCUGCUGGGGAGACUGACAGGGAGUGACGGAGCCUGAAACUGUCUGGCAGAUUGUUUGUUUAAUGGGGGAAAAUGUUUUCCUGACACUGUAGAGCACUUUGAAUCACAAACGAUGUCAAUAACAUACAUUCACCUGUUCCUAGCACAGAGUUCUCCCUCCUACGCCAUCCCUUUAGCAGGAUACUCCAUUAGUGCCCAGGCUGCCACCAGGCAAAUGCCACGAGCGUGUGGCUGAUUUUCCAGUCAGGGCCGGCAGCAUGGGAGUGACCAUGCCACAGGAGCAGUGAUCCCUGCAGAGUCUCCAGUGCAGCAGCUCUGGGAGAAGAGGAGAGGGGAUCACAAUGGCUUCAUUCUUCACCAUGUUCCCCCCGGCCCCUUCAGCCUGCCCCAGUGGCCAGCACGAUCUCAAAGUCCUCCCUUUAACUUUGAUUCCCUGGGCCUGCAAAGUGGAAAAUGAAUUGGAUCUGAGCCAUGUGCUACCCUGCUGUCACCUGGUGUCAUUUUUAUUUUUCAGGCUGAAAUGGUCCCAGAAUAUUGGCAGCUCUGAAAUCGUAAGGAUAUCUAAUCGGAUGAUUUAUGCUGGGAGGGAUUUGAUCAGGAGCCAGGAAUCAGUAGUCAUUCUUCUCCUCCCUAGCCAGGGAAGGAGCUCCCACUUUUGGUGGGGGUUACGGGGUGUCAUUUGUUUUUUGCACCUUUUUGUGGUAGUCCCCUCCUUGCCCCCGUGCUGACCACCACAGAGCUGCCCGCUCAGCUCCCUGCCUCCCCAAGCCAGUAAAUAAUUACCUCCCCCUUCCCCUCUCUGGAAUGCGUACAUAAACAGCACAGCCUACCUAUGGCUACUUGGCUUGCUGUUAAGUCCUAAAUAAAGCUAAAAAAGGAUUAAUAGCCCUUUGUGAUACAACAUUAAAAAAAAAAAGAAUUAGAAGGCAGUUUGUCUUGCACUCCGUCACCUUCGGACCCAACAAGCGAGCGUGUGGAGUGGUUGCCGCUCUAAACUGCACCCACGGUGCACGCUACAGUAACCCAGAAUGUGUAUUUCUGCAGAUGAUUAAAUCAAUACAAUUUUGACAAGACUUGUUGGAACAUGCUUCUUUAUUUUACGCAAUUCCUUCCCCUUCGUCGGGGGCAUUUAUCACCCUGCCUGCCUGUCAGCUAAUGGAGAUUGUUCUUAGUCCAUACUUGAUAGAAGGACGUGGUUAUGAAGCAUGCCAAUACUUUGGCUCAGCCACUGCGGUGGGAACAAAGAUCUGAGCUGGGGGCUGGAGGCCUUUAACCAGGGGGGAUGUUUUCCUGCCUGAGGAACUACAAUAAUAAUAAUAAUUCUUUAAAACCCCCGUUCUCCUCUCCCUCCCUCCUCUGGCUACAUAUUUCCAGGACUGUUGGUGUGGGAGGGAGACCAGUCUAUGGGGAGUUGUGGAGGGAAGGGGGCACUGUGGGAAGCGACCGUGUUUCUUCUUGUUAUUUACAGGGGGUUGCUGCCCCACAGCCCCUCCAGUUGUGGGUGCUGGGGGAUGUGUGUGGGCUGAGAGCCCUUCCUGAUCUCCUUCCCAGAUGGGUGAGCAUCGUGGUCCUGUAGGGCUGCACUGGAUUCCCAGGCUCUCUC